Molecule: transfer RNA, 86 nt
Filed under: Laetiporus sulphureus 93-53
Lineage: Eukaryota; Fungi; Basidiomycota; Agaricomycetes; Polyporales; Laetiporaceae
Rfam family: tRNA
About the family: Transfer RNA (tRNA) molecules are approximately 80 nucleotides in length. Their secondary structure includes four short double-helical elements and three loops (D, anti-codon, and T loops).
Source: Rfam by way of RNAcentral
GCCUGCCUAGCUCAAUCGGAUAGAGCGUCAGACUCUUAUGAGUGCCAGGCAUCUGAAGGCUGCGAGUUCGACCCUCGCGGUGGGCU